This 73-nucleotide transfer RNA is filed under the name Mesorhizobium sp. YR577. Its description in RNAcentral is "tRNA_Met_CAT". It matches the Rfam family "tRNA". From Rfam's summary of the family: Transfer RNA (tRNA) molecules are approximately 80 nucleotides in length. The record is from RNAcentral. Lineage: Bacteria; Pseudomonadati; Pseudomonadota; Alphaproteobacteria; Hyphomicrobiales; Phyllobacteriaceae.
AGCACCGUGAGGAAGUGGUCAUCCCCCCGGGCUCAUAACUUGGAGAAUGCGCGUUCAAAUCGCACCGAUGCAA